UACGUAGGGUGCGAGCGUUAAUCGGAAUUACUGGGCGUAAAGCGUGCGCAGGUGGUUUUGUAAGCCAGAUGUGAAAUCCCCGGGCUCAACCUGGGAAUGGCAUUUGGGACUGCAAGGCUAGAGUGUGGCAGAGCGGGGUGGAAUUCCGCGUGUAGCAGUGAAAUGCGUAGAGAUGCGGAGGAACACCGAUGGCGAAGGCAGCCCCCUGGGUUGACACUGACACUCAUGCACGAAAGCGUGGGGAGCAAACAGG
Molecule: ribosomal RNA, 253 nt
Filed under: uncultured bacterium
Lineage: Bacteria
Description: partial 16S ribosomal RNA
Rfam family: Bacterial small subunit ribosomal RNA
Source: RNAcentral